GAUGAACGCUGGCGGCGUGCCUAAUACAUGCAAGUCGAGCGAACAGACGAGGAGCUUGCUCCUCUGACGUUAGCGGCGGACGGGUGAGUAACACGUGGAUAACCUACCUAUAAGACUGGGAUAACUUCGGGAAACCGGAGCUAAUACCGGAUAAUAUAUUGAACCGCAUGGUUCAAUAGUGAAAGACGGUUUUGCUGUCACUUAUAGAUGGAUCCGCGCCGCAUUAGCUAGUUGGUAAGGUAACGGCUUACCAAGGCAACGAUGCGUAGCCGACCUGAGAGGGUGAUCGGCCACACUGGAACUGAGACACGGUCCAGACUCCUACGGGAGGCAGCAGUAGGGAAUCUGCCGCAAGGGGCGAAAGCCUGACGGAGCAACGCCGCGUGAGUGAUGAAGGUCUUCGGAUCGUAAAACUCUGUUAUUAGGGAAGAACAAAUGUGUAAGUAACUAUGCACGUCCUGACGGUACCUAAUCAGAAAGCCACGGCUAACUACGG
Molecule: ribosomal RNA, 496 nt
Filed under: uncultured bacterium
Lineage: Bacteria
Description: partial 16S ribosomal RNA
Rfam family: Bacterial small subunit ribosomal RNA
Source: RNAcentral